Etheostoma spectabile (orangethroat darter) is the source of this 168-nucleotide long non-coding RNA. RefSeq lists it as uncharacterized. The transcript is spliced from 4 exons. The record is from RefSeq and is a predicted model, not a curated record. Lineage: Eukaryota; Metazoa; Chordata; Actinopteri; Perciformes; Percidae.
GGGUUGGGCAUUGAGAACUGAUUCCUACUUGAAAUCAUUUUAAAAAUUACAAUUCCAGUGGAAAAGUUUCUGGAAUCGUUUGGAGGAUUGGGUUUCAAAUCUGAUCAUCGGAUCCAAAUUUAAUAAGCGCAAGUUUUGUUGUCCGUAGCAGCCAGGCGCUUGUUAUGU